CGAUACAAGGGUGGCGAUACGAUACGUAUUUUGAUACUAAAAAUUUUAAUUCUAACACCAACUAUAAAACACCUUAAGAUCAAAACAAAAUCAUUUAAAAAAGAUUUCGUCAAAUUCCACAAGCUUGUAUGGAAAUUAUUAA
Haliotis rubra (blacklip abalone) is the source of this 142-nucleotide long non-coding RNA. RefSeq lists it as uncharacterized. Lineage: Eukaryota; Metazoa; Mollusca; Gastropoda; Lepetellida; Haliotidae. The record is from RefSeq and is a predicted model, not a curated record. The transcript is spliced from 3 exons.